Cavia porcellus (domestic guinea pig) is the source of this 2714-nucleotide long non-coding RNA. RefSeq lists it as uncharacterized. The transcript is spliced from 2 exons. Lineage: Eukaryota; Metazoa; Chordata; Mammalia; Rodentia; Caviidae. The record is from RefSeq and is a predicted model, not a curated record.
UUGCAGGGCUGGAAUUCCCUAGAGAACGCUGCAGGGGGUUCCUCCCCAACCUCUUGGUUGUUGGUCAUGGGGAAGUUGAGUAGCUUGUGCUUUUCCAAGUGGGAGGCAGGUAAGCAAAUGGUUUCCAGACUCAGGCCCCACCAAGCUUGGAGAGAUCUUUCAUUAUGAGGGGAAAACAUUACUAAAGCUCAGGCUCUGGGCACUCUAAGCUGUGUUAGCCAGCUGAACCAACAGUUUCUCCAGGCUUCUCUCCUAGAACAGUCAUGCGUAGUCUCUUGUCCCAACGUGGGCCCAGUCUAAGACAAACUGCACUGUUCUUAGCAAAUCAGGUGGCCACCUGGCUGUGCAGUCGUGGAUAACUGUUUUAACCUCUCUGAAUUUCAAUUGCAUCAAAGGUCCUCCUUUGCUUGGUGUCCAGAAUGCAGAAGGGGCUGUCUUACUGAUUCACACAGGUAACAAGACUCCUGCUUUACUUCCCUGAGCAUAGACAGGUGGGUGACAUGGAUGACCUCGGACCACACUGUCAGGGAUGGAACCUAGGCUGUCAGGAGAAACCUUUAAAGGGUGUUCCCUGCCUUUCUGGGCUUGGAUGAAGCUGCUUCCCCCUCUGCUGAGUCAGGACAGAGUGUGAGGGUGGGGUGCCGUGGGGAAGUCAGGGGCUGAAGAAAAUCCAGGGUGUUGCACAAGAGGCAGCGGGGGUGGGGGAAGGUCCAUUUUAAAGAGGCAGUGGAGGAGCACGGGGCUGGUCCUGCACCGAGCGCUGUCUGCCGCUGUGAUGUUCUGUGCUGCAGGGAUCAAAGCCUCCCUGGGCACCGUUCCCUAAGACAGGGUAACUGCGGGGCCCACAAACACCUUGAGUUUCUCACAGAGGCCUACUUGAAGUCACUGCCUCGGUUUCCCUCAUGCCCAGCUCUCCGCCCCCGCUUGUUUCUGAUCCAGCCCUAUGGUGCUCCUCACGCCUCCGGCUUGGGCUGCUGACUCAGUCAUCGGGAUUGAUGUCCAGGGCCACCUGUGGCUGCACAUGGUCCAUCUCGUCCGUGUUAAGCUUCUCUCUCUGGCCCCGGUGGCUCUCCCAUUUCAGCCUCGGCCUCCAUCUCCCUUUGGCUCUAGACUUGGUUAAGCUUAUUUGUGCAACGAUCUCAGUAUCUGACUCUCAAGUUUGCCAAUGGCCUUCACAUAAAUCGGCAAAGUGGGUAGAGUGGGCCUGGCCCUUUCCUACUUGGGCCUUUUAAACUCUUAGUUCUAGACCAAUCCCUCUUCUAGUCCAGUGAUGGUGAACUUUUAGAAAUGAGCUCUUAACCUGCAACCCAAAACCCACUGAUUUAUCACAAAGUGACAAUACUUCAAUGGAACUUGAAUACUGAGGUUUUAGUUUAGGGACAGCAACUCAUAUAUUAACAUCUUUUUCUGGAAAGAAAAUAACAUGUGUGCCAUAGGUUCGCUACCACUGCUUUAGACUCUGUUGGCCUCCUGAGUGGGGCUUUCUGUCUCCCAGCUGAGGCCAGCAGGCCCUGGUCUGUCUCUGGCCUGCUUGUCUUCAGGAGACAGCUUGGUUCUGCGCAGGAGCCUGGGGUAGGGGGAGAUACAGAGGCCUACCGAGGUAGAGGCAGCUGGGAGAGUCCUCUUGCCAAGUCUGCAGGGCACAUUAGGGCUGCCCAUGGAACAGGGUCUUUCUUAAGAGGGAGGGAACUGGACUGUGUAACCAAAUCAUAAGCAGAAAAGAAUUAGAACUUUCUUCUGGGGUUUGUGAAUGCUUUCUUCAGUGUGAUUUCUUAGAUCACUAUCUUGAGUUUCUCAAAUACUCCUCCUUGAGGGCUUCUGUCUCAUUGUGUGUACAUCCCUAUGACUUCUCUCUCCCAGUCUCUGGACUAAAUUUUAUUUUUUCAAGCUUUUUGAGGUCUUUGGAUGACCAUUAAUCGCCUCAUUUCACAGGGGAAAAAUGGAGACUUAGAGAGAUGUGCUCAUUUCCUUAUAGCUUCAUAGCCAAAGGGACCUUUCUCACGGACAUGUCUCACGGUGGCGGAAGAACGACUUGGCAGCCUCCCUCCCUUCUAUCAAAGGGACACGAGGAAUCAGCACGCAUCCAGUUAGUCACGCAGCACUUAACAAUGAAUGUGAGGAUGCUUCUACUCUAAGCGGCUCAGGAAUGGGUGAGGCUUCUUAAGUGAGCUAAUGCUGGGUUAUUGUUUUAUAAGGGGCAGAGUCAGAGACGAGCUAAGAGGAAAAGUAGCCCUUCCUCUCCUGAGAACCAUACUGUGGGCGCUGGGAAAAAACAAAAAGCAAAAUAAAAAAAACCCGCUAGUGCUCAUCAUGGAUGUUGACACACCUGCUUCUAGGCUAAGGACAUUGGACAUUGCUGUCCAGUGAGAGCCUGAAGGGGUUCAGAGGGGUUACCCCUGUGCUCCCGAACUAGCUGCCAAGGGUCAAACGCUAGGAUACAGACAAGGGGCUCUCUCUGGGGAAGGGAGUAUAGAGUCAUUGGUCUCAGCGAUUAAAGAGACUUUAGCAAAGGGAUAAAUGAUCAGAGAUGGGGAAGGACUAGAACCCUGUCUCAAGGCUGAUGUCUGGUGGGGCAUCUUUGUUGGUAUUCAGAAAUUAACAAAUCAGCUUCCUUCCAGGGUUGUUUGAUGUUGAGAUCUACUUGACCCUUGGGAGAUAUGAACCAAUAUGUGUAUUUUUUAUAAAUAAAGAUGAAGGUAAAACAGGGUCACUCA